AGGGCUAUAGCUCAGUUCGGUAGAGCAACUCGUUUACACNNNGAGAAGGUCUACGGUUCGAAUCCGUAUAGCCCUA
Molecule: transfer RNA, 76 nt
Filed under: Amblyopyrum muticum
Lineage: Eukaryota; Viridiplantae; Streptophyta; Magnoliopsida; Poales; Poaceae
Description: tRNA-Val
Rfam family: tRNA
About the family: Transfer RNA (tRNA) molecules are approximately 80 nucleotides in length. Their secondary structure includes four short double-helical elements and three loops (D, anti-codon, and T loops). Further hydrogen bonds mediate the characteristic L-shaped molecular structure. tRNAs have two regions of fundamental functional importance: the anti-codon, which is responsible for specific mRNA codon recognition, and the 3' end, to which the tRNAs corresponding amino acid is attached (by aminoacyl-tRNA synthetases). tRNAs cope with the degeneracy of the genetic code in two manners: having more than one tRNA (with a specific anti-codon) for a particular amino acid; and 'wobble' base-pairing, i.e. permitting non-standard base-pairing at the 3rd anti-codon position.
Source: RNAcentral